CAGGCCCUGUUAUCACAGGAGGUUAUAUUUCCCAACUGUUGAUUAAUAUUCAUUUUCAAAAUUUAAUAUUAUACAGGUUUAUGACCAUAUACGCAGAAAAUGCUGGCUGCUUGUCUCAUUUUUCCUUUCUUUUUUAUUUACAAUUUAUUACAAGGAAAAAAUGGGGUGCUGAAGUUGAAACAAUAUGAAAAUCUUGGAACUUUACUUUUUAUCAUUUGAAUUAUGUGUGAUUUAUUUUAUUUUACAGGUGAUUAUCCCAAAACAAGAGG
This 269-nucleotide unclassified non-coding RNA is filed under the name Hevea brasiliensis (rubber tree). The record is from RNAcentral. Lineage: Eukaryota; Viridiplantae; Streptophyta; Magnoliopsida; Malpighiales; Euphorbiaceae.